Molecule: long non-coding RNA, 863 nt
Filed under: Vulpes vulpes (red fox)
Lineage: Eukaryota; Metazoa; Chordata; Mammalia; Carnivora; Canidae
Description: lncRNA (ENSVVUG00000009394.1)
Source: RNAcentral
AUGUCUCUGUGGGAUUUUGGAGACGGAGGAAAAGGAAGCAGGGGCUGAGUUUGUGCGCGCUGGUGUCUAUUGCCUUUGGGUGGGUGACGUAGUGUGACCAAUGCCCACGAGGUGGCGACAAACGACCUCCUGGCCGGAGGACUGGAUGGAUGCAAAGAGGUGGGUGAAAUGGGUUUGCUUUCUGUCCUAACCCGAAGGAUAACCACUUACUGGAUGCUGACCACGUGGCAGGCACGCCCAGAAGUGCUGUUUAUACAUUAACUUACUGAUUUAUCUUUGCAGCAAUCCCUUGAGUCUUACAAAAGAUAAGGAACUGGUUUGCCCCAGGUCACAUACUUGGUGGUUGGCAGAGCUGACAUUUGACCUCCUCUGUGACUGAGGACACGGGGCUGUGAUCUUAUGUACUACACUCUCCUGGACCCUAAAGGAAAUACCCUAUUAAUUCGGGGAAGAAGUUGAAUGGCUCAAACUAUGUCUCACCCUCACUGAGGUCUGUAGCUCCCUUCAUCCUUCAUCGUCAUAAAAUAAAGGAGUCCAGAAAGACCAGGGACUUAGAAUCCGAGAGUUAGAGAAGUCUUGACCAUCUACUCCAGGCACCCAUUCAAUAUAGGACUUUUUCAGGCACAGGCCUGAAGGAGGAUAAGAUAGUCUCUGCUAGAUCUCUUCUGGGGCCAGGAUGUCAAAUGAAGAUGGCAUGGUUCCCUCUCUGUCUUCCCAUGGUCACCUUCCUCUCCAAGAAGGGAAAUUCAGAAGAAUGAGACCGGAAGGAAGAUUCAUAGCCCCUGUUCAUCAAAGCAUUUGUCGGGAACACCAUGCAUAUGAUGCUGUUCUGUUUUGAGUCAGCGAGAGCAACUGGACAGCAG